This 1372-nucleotide ribosomal RNA is filed under the name uncultured bacterium. Its description in RNAcentral is "bacterial SSU rRNA". It matches the Rfam family "Bacterial small subunit ribosomal RNA", at positions 28 to 1381 of the family's 1533-position model. The record is from RNAcentral.
GAUGAACGCUGGCGGCGUGCCUAAUACAUGCAAGUCGAGCGAACGGACGAGAAGCUUGCUUCUCUGAUGUUAGCGGCGGACGGGUGAGUAACACGUGGAUAACCUACCUAUAAGACUGGGAUAACUUCGGGAAACCGGAGCUAAUACCGGAUAAUAUUUUGAACCGCAUGGUUCAAAAGUGAAAGACGGUCUUGCUGUCACUUAUAGAUGGAUCCGCGCUGCAUUAGCUAGUUGGUAAGGUAACGGCUUACCAAGGCAACGAUGCAUAGCCGACCUGAGAGGGUGAUCGGCCACACUGGAACUGAGACACGGUCCAGACUCCUACGGGAGGCAGCAGUAGGGAAUCUUCCGCAAUGGGCGAAAGCCUGACGGAGCAACGCCGCGUGAGUGAUGAAGGUCUUCGGAUCGUAAAACUCUGUUAUUAGGGAAGAACAUAUGUGUAAGUACCUGUGCACAUCUUGACGGUACCUAAUCAGAAAGCCGCGGCUAACUACGUGCCAGCAGCCGCGGUAAUACGUAGGUGGCAAGCGUUAUCCGGAAUUAUUGGGCGUAAAGCGCGCGUAGGCGGUUUUUUAAGUCUGAUGUGAAAGCCCACGGCUCAACCGUGGAGGGUCAUUGGAAACUGGAAAACUUGAGUGCAGAAGAGGAAAGUGGAAUUCCAUGUGUAGCGGUGAAAUGCGCAGAGAUAUGGAGGAACACCAGUGGCGAAGGCGACUUUCUGGUCUGUAACUGACGCUGAUGUGCGAAAGCGUGGGGAUCAAACAGGAUUAGAUACCCUGGUAGUCCACGCCGUAAACGAUGAGUGCUAAGUGUUAGGGGGUUUCCGCCCCUUAGUGCUGCAGCUAACGCAUUAAGCACUCCGCCUGGGGAGUACGACCGCAAGGUUGAAACUCAAAGGAAUUGACGGGGACCCGCACAAGCGGUGGAGCAUGUGGUUUAAUUCGAAGCAACGCGAAGAACCUUACCAAAUCUUGACAUCCUCUGACAACUCUAGAGAUAGAGCCUUCCCCUUCGGGGGACAAAGUGACAGGUGGUGCAUGGUUGUCGUCAGCUCGUGUCGUGAGAUGUUGGGUUAAGUCCCGCAACGAGCGCAACCCUUAAGCUUAGUUGCCAUCAUUAAGUUGGGCACUCUAAGUUGACUGCCGGUGACAAACCGGAGGAAGGUGGGGAUGACGUCAAAUCAUCAUGCCCCUUAUGAUUUGGGCUACACACGUGCUACAAUGGACAAUACAAAGGGCAGCGAAACCGCGAGGUCAAGCAAAUCCCAUAAAGUUGUUCUCAGUUCGGAUUGUAGUCUGCAACUCGACUACAUGAAGCUGGAAUCGCUAGUAAUCGUAGAUCAGCAUGCUACGGUGAAUACGUUCCCGGGUCU